UUCUUGGGGAAAUACGAUAGUACUCGGAGUCUUCGGACAAAGAGAUAGUGCGCCUAAGGGCUUCCAAGAAAAACCUCUAAACUUCAGGUAAUUAGUACCAGUACCGUAAACCGACACAGGUAGUUGAGGAGAGAAUCCUAAGGUGCUCGAGAGAUUCAUGGCUAAGGAAUUAGGCAAAAUAGACCUGUAACUUCGGGAGAAAGGUCGCCAGCGCAAGCUGGCCGCAGUGAAGAGGUCCAGGCGACUGUUUAUCAAAAACACAGGGCUCUGCAAAAUCGUAAGAUGAAGUAUAGGGCCUGACACCUGCCCGGUGCUGGAAGGUUAAGAGGAGAUGUUAUCUUCGGAGAAGCAUUGAAUUGAAGCCCCAGUAAACGGCGGCCGUAACAAUAACGGUCCUAAGGUAGCGAAAUUCCUUGUCGGGUAAGUUCCGACCUGCACGAAUGGUGUAACGAUCUGGACACUGUCUCAGCCAUGAGCUCGGUGAAAUUGUAGUAACGGUGAAGAUGCCGUUUACCCGCAGUGGGACGAAAAGACCCUGUGCACCUUUACUAUAGCUUAGUAUUGACCUUGGAUAAAUGAUGUGUAGGAUAGGUUGGAGACUGUGAAGUGGCGUCGCCAGGCGUUGUGGAGUCAUUGUUGAAAUACAACCCUUUGUUUAUCUGAGGCCUAACCCCGUUUUGCGGGGGACAUUGCUUGGUGGGUAGUUUGACUGGGGUGGUCGCCUCCAAAAGAGUAACGGAGGCUUCUAAAGGUUCCCUCAGUACGCUUGGUAACCGUGCGUAGAGUGCAAUGGCAUAAGGGAGCUUGACUGAGAGACAUACAGGUCGAUCAGGUACGAAAGUAGAGCAUAGUGAUCCGGUGGUUCCGCAUGGAAGGGCCAUCGCUCAAAGGAUAAAAGGUACGCCGGGGAUAACAGGCUGAUCUCCCCCAAGAGCUCAUAUCGACGGGGGGGUUUGGCACCUCGAUGCCGGCUCGUCACAUCCUGGGGCUGGAGAAGGUCCCAAGGGUUGGGCUGUUCGCCCAUUAAAGUGGCACGCGAGCUGGGUUCAGAACGUCGUGAGACAGUUCGGUCUCUAUCUACUGUGGGCGUUAGAAAUUUGAGUGGAUCUGAUUCUAGUACGAGAGGACCGAAUUGGACAAACCUCUAGUGUAUCUGUUGUCCCGCCAGGGGCACCGCAGAGUAGCUACGUUUGGAAGGGAUAAGCGCUGAAAGCAUAUAAGCGCGAAACCCACCACAAGAUGAGAUUUCUUUUAAGGAUCGUGGAAGAUGACCACGUUGAUAGGCUAUAGAUGUAAAGGCAGUAAUGUCAUAGUCGAGUAGUACUAAUAAUCCGAAAAA
This 1339-nucleotide ribosomal RNA is filed under the name metagenome. RNAcentral's name for it is "bacterial LSU rRNA". It matches the Rfam family "Bacterial large subunit ribosomal RNA", at positions 1541 to 2925 of the family's 2925-position model. The record is from RNAcentral.